Long non-coding RNA from Myxocyprinus asiaticus (Chinese sucker), 5436 nucleotides. RefSeq lists it as uncharacterized. The transcript is spliced from 3 exons. The record is from RefSeq and is a predicted model, not a curated record. Lineage: Eukaryota; Metazoa; Chordata; Actinopteri; Cypriniformes; Catostomidae.
GUAGAGGAGAAAGGGCACAUCAAACACAUGGCCUGCUCAAUUCUGCUUCACUUGACUCAGAUAAGAGGGACAUUUCACCAGAUGACGUCUCAUAAUACCUUAUAAGCACGCUGCUAAUGAGCGUUCAGUGCUCCCACAAUGCAAACAGCCAUGAAGCCACUAAAUGGAGAAUAAAAUGAUGAAGACACAGAUGCACAAGAUCCACAGAAGCAUUUAUCUGAGUGAAAUGGAAAAUUGUGCUGACAGGUGGAUUGUGAAUGCUUUAAUAGUGGCGAGGAUUGGAGCGGGCAGGUCUGGGGAGCGAAAGGUCCCAUGAUACUGGGGCCAAAUUGACAAGCCCGUCUAUGUUGGCUCAGUCUUCAUUUAUAGCAGGAUGAUCCUUGCCAACCCUCAUGUCAGCCAAUUUGCUCUAGGACAGAUGAAUGUGGAGAGGUAUAUGGAGACAAUGUUUUCCCCACAGUCUCUCUGGUAUGUGCUGGCAGAACUGUGACCCCUGCUACAGAAUUGCUAUCUUAUUUACCGCAUUAUUCAAGGAAACGUUUAAUCAGCCGUUUCAAUAUUUGGAAAUUCUGUAUCAAGAGAUCACCAUGAGGUCAUUAUUUCUGACACAACUUGUAUGACGAGAGGUCAUAUACAUUAGGGAACAAUCCUGAAGAAAUUGCAUAAUUCUGCACUCACAUCUGCAUAUGUUCACAAUAAAAAAUGAUAAAAAAAACUGUUAACUUAAAAAAAAAAAACAUUUAAACACUUUUUUUUCACCACUCUUUGAAAAAGUGGACAGGAAACUGGGGUGCUUUAAAACAGCAUGAUCAGAGACUGUGACGGGAAUGUCAUUGAUUGAAUACUGUUUUGUUAAGACAAAAAAGGAUAAACAACACUUGUUCCUUAGCUUUAAUUAACCUCAUCCCCCUGUCAGUUCAUAGAGGUUAACGGUUGAAAAGAUAGGCUUUGCUGGUCACCAGCACAGUGUAUGUUUUGGUUAGGAUACUGGUUUCCAUUUUCCAGCAGAUGCAGGUUUGCUAGUGUCCCCACCAGGCUUUUUAACUAGCUUGGACUAGCAAUGCAAACUGAUAGACUAGCAACGUUUUGUUGUCUAAAACUUGAAUGACUUUCUUUCUUCCGGUGAAACACAAUCUGAGAUAUUUUAAUAAAGAUUUGAUGUCUUUUUUGAAAGGGACAUAAAGACAUAAAGGAAGCAUAAAGGUGAUCCAUACAACUCCAGGUCUUUUGAAGCGAUCCAGUCAGUUUUGGGUGAGAACAGACCAAAAUCCUUUUUCACUGUACAUCUUGCCAUUGCAGUAUCUAGGCACAAUCAUGACUUAAAGCCUGAUUACACUUCCUUUUGCUUGAUGCAUGCAGAAGAAUAAUCAAGCUUGAAAUAAUGAUCACCAAGGAGACUGCUGAUGUCAAGAUGUAGGGGAGAGCGGGGCACAAACUAACAUUGGGCUAGUUGUAACUAGUAAUAAAAACAUUUUUUGGAAGGUAUCGGCAGAUGUUCAUUUGACAGUAGUGAACAUAAAAAUUCUCACAACAGAAUAUUUUUCAUCUCUGUUUUUAGUCUUUAUUUAAAACAAGGCAAACUUGGUAUCAUUUUAAUCCCCAGUCUCUUAGCUAGCAUCUUGCAUAGUCUUUUAAUUCUUAGCUUUUGGAUGACAUGUUAGACCGAGGUCCUGACUGUCUGUGGUCAUUAAAAAUCCCAGGACACUUCUCGUAAAGAGUAGGGGUGUAACCCCGGUGUCCUGGCCAAUUUUCCCCCAUAGGCCCUUCUCAAUCAUGGCCUCCUAAUAAUCCCCAUCCAUUAAUUGGCUGUAUCACUCUACUCCCUCCUCUCCACCAAUAGCUGGUGUGUGGUGAGCGUACUGGCGCACUAUGGCUGCCGUCGCAUCAUCCAGGUGGAUGCUGCACACUGGUGGUGGUUGAGGAGAGUCCCCCUAUACUAUGUAAAGCACUUUGAGAGCCUAGAAAAGCACUAUAUAAAAGGAAUUAUUAUUAUUAUUAGCUAGCCAGCAGAAGUGACCAGCCAGGAUUAAAUCCCAGUUGCACUGAUGGGGCAUGUUAUAACACUGCGUUAAAAUGUGCCCCAAAUAGAACAAACUAUAAUUGAUUCCAUGCUGUCAGAUAUGUAAUUUACAUAAUUCCCCUUUGCGUGUGUGUCAUCAAUCCAUGCAUUUUUUUAGUCAAAACUUUGUUCUGUAUUUAUUGUCAAGAGUCAAAAUGAUUGCUAUAUUAUUGUGAUGAAGUUAAUAAAUGGCUUUUAUUAACAAUGUUUUAGUUUAUCUAUUUUAAGUACAUCAGAACCUUUUAGGAAAUACAACGGCCCGCGGGCGGGCCGGCGCAUGUUAAGUACUAAACUAUGCGAUGUACACAACUGCUGUGUGUACGUUGGUACACAUGCCACAUAUCUUUGGAAAGCUAAGAUUCUUGUGAUUCUAUUGAUGUAAACCAUUUCAAGAUACAAUUACAACAGCAGGUACAAUCAACGUCUUUGUCAGACCACCAACAUAUAAACAAACAAUAACAAAAUUGAGGCAACUCAUAUAUGAAGCCUCAUAGUAGUCCACUGAUACAUAACAUCCUGACAAAAAUGGUCUUGUUACUUUGGCCAUGGUCCAAACGAUCCAGUCAAGUAAAAUAUUUAGUCCAAAACACAUUAUUACAUCAAUAAAUACCCACAGAUUCUUGCUGCAUCAUUUCUAAGUAUCCGGCAGAUGUGCCUAAUCUUUCACGAAUUCUCCGUCAUAACUUCAGUUCACAUGUAAACAUUUCUGAUAUCUUGGUAUUAAAAUGGUUGCUGCACUCUGACCUUUUGACUGACACCUCAUUCGACUGGCACCCAAUAGGAGCUUCCAUGUCCUGUCCAUAGCCUUCAAUAGCCAAUGAGAGUCCGCAUCACAAGGAAGUGCCUGCCCCUUUUCCUUGGUGUAAAGAUCAAGCCAGUUGCAACCGAUAGUGUGGAUGACUGGCACAUCGUAUAGCCAAUGAAAUUCUGAAAACAAUGAUAUGCAGCUUUUGUAGGAAGUUUCAAAGCUACAGCUAAGAAGUCUGUGCGUAUGGCUAGAUAACCAUUGCCAAGUGUUUUGUGCAUCCGUGCGCAAAAGGUGAAAAGUGUAGUUUUGUGACUGUUGACGCUUCUGGAAGGUGAAUUAUGGCGAAACGGGCGAGGAAAACAAACUAUUCGCUCCAAGAUGUGCUGGAAGAAUGUACUUGGUGUGAAAGCGAUGAUCUGGGGAUGAAGUUUCAGAAGUAAAUAGUGAUGAAUCAUAUAUUGACUCCGAGGCAGAUGCAAUGUUUCUGGAGGGAGGAGAUAUUACUCUUGACAAGUAAGUAUUUUCUUAUAUAACAUAUAUUACUGUAUAUUCUGCAUAAAUAAGCUUUAGUUUGAAUUAUGAAUACACAUUUUGUAGAUUACCUUUUGUCGUGUGUUUCCCCAGUGAGUCUGUUGAACUGUUUGCGGGAGGUGUUUGUAUUUAUUUCUGUGUGUGUGAAGUUUUAUUACCCCUUUGUUUCACUGUUUGUUUCAGAUUCAUAUAGCUCUAUUGAAAUGGUAUAAAUAUUUGUUUACAUUGCCAAAGCAUACAGUAUUUACAGUAAAUAUACAUACAUGCAUACAUAUUUAUACACACAAAAAGAAAAACUAUAUAUAUAAAUUGAAUAUAAGAAUAUAAGUUGUAUUUGUGUGUGUCUUGAGGUGUUACUGCUGACCUAUGGGGGAGGUGUGUGUGACUCUUUGUUUCAUUGUGUGAACUGCAGAGAUGAGAGGUGCAGAUCAGCACUGGGCAUUGAAGGACAUCCCAGUUCCACCAGCGGUAAAGGAGUACAACCAGUAUGUACUAUAUAUUCAACUAUGUUUUAUGCUCUUUGAAAUGUAAUAAUAUAUGUGGUUGAUAUAUUUGUGUUUUGGUAUAUUUUUUCAAUGUUGUUUUCUAUUUGUCCAUCCUGGUGCAUGGGUGGAGUGGACCUUUCUGACUCCCUGAUAGGGUACUAUAAAGUCAUCCACAAGACCCAGAAGUGGUACAAGACAUUCUUUUAUUAUUUCAUGGAGAUGGCAAUUGUGAAUGCCUUCCUCCUCCACAAAGACAUUGCAAAAGGUAAAGGAGAGGUCCCUAUGAACCAGAAGGCAUUCAGAGAGACCCUUGCUGAGGAGCUGGCAGAGUUGGGGUCUCACUCCACAGCCAGACCCGUAUCUCCUGCUCCACGCAGAGCACAUCACAGGACUCAGCACCGCUGGUCAACUGAAGUACAGGCAGUGCCAUGCAAAGACACCCAGUGAAGUGCUCCUUCCAUGAUGUGCUUUUGUGCUUUGUCCCCAAACUUGACUGCUACAAUGACUGGCAUGUUGCCAAAAACCUGUAAAAGGUAUAAUUGUAUGUAAAUAUGUUGUGUAAAAAAGUAUGUAAAUAGUUUGUUUAUUUCUUACAUACACUGCUUUUCCACCAUAGCACUUGUUUUGACUCUUUAUAUGCACAAAGUUUAGUUUUAAGAAGGAAAAAAAAAUCACUCUAAUGUGUUUAUGCUUCAGUUACUCUGUGUCAGCAAUACUAAUAGUGGAUCUGGAUAUGGAAUAUGAUAGCUCUAAGUGUCACCUUUCAUUAGAGCCCAAAUUUAUGACUGUAUGUUAAAGUGUUCCAAAGUAGUAGCCUUUUUAUCCUAGGUAUGUGGCCAUGGUUACCAAGGGUCCUUUGGAGUAUCCAAAAGGCACUUUUGGAAAUGCCUGGACAUACCCUUGUGUAAAAUAUUCAUUUUCUGUAGUAUUGUUAUAAAAUUUGAACUUGGACUAGGUAAGGCUUCAUGCUGUGGUCCCAUUGUGUUUUCCAGCUAAUAGUUCCCAGUUAUAGUCGUCUGCAGGCAUCUGUAUGCAAAAAAAUAAAAAAAUUCAGGUGGAAAUUUUUUUUAUUUUAUAUUUCAGUGUGUUCAAACUUCUAUUACUCAAAACCAGUAGCACUUACAGUGAUUCUGACUGCUGGGGAAAAAAACAUCAGAGUGCCACCUUUCAAAAGAGACCUAAACCAUGCAUGUACUCCAAAUUGUUCAAGAACAGCUUUAAAUUUACUUUGGGUAUGCCUUGAAUAGGCGUUUUAGGCUAGUUUUAGAGGGGGAUUUUACGCUGUCAUAUGGUCAUGUUACAAUGAACCCCUCACCUGUUACAAUGUGACCAGUCUGUGGGGCAUGUUGUAACAUAUCAUUUUCAUUCUUUCCAGGUAGAUAGGGAAAAAAAGUAUACGCUCUUCAUGAAACAAGACCACAUAUUUGUACCAGACAUGUGUAAAAUUAAAGUGAAGAAAGAAAAAUACUUUGAACCUCAAUUACAUUUACAUAAACUUAAGAAAACCAAAAAGUGUUAGUUUGUGCCAAGCUCUCCCCUACAGUGAAAAAGGAGUUAAACUUUGGUCUGUUCUCACCCAAAAUUGAUUGGAUCGCUUCAGAAGACGGAUUAAA